UACGUAUGGAGCAAGCGUUAUCCGGAUUUACUGGGCGUAAAGGGAGCGUAGGCGGCCUGCCAAGUCUGAUGUGAAAUACCGGGGCUCAACCCCGGGGCUGCAUUGGAAACUGGCAGACUUGAGUUGGCGAGAAGUACGCGGAAUGCGCGGUGUAGCGGUGAAAUGCAUAGAUAUCGCGCAGAACUCCGAUUGCGAAGGCAGCGUACCGGCGCCAGACUGACGCUGAGGCACGAAAGCGUGGGGAUCGAACAGG
RNAcentral lists this ribosomal RNA (253 nucleotides) under uncultured Bacteroidales bacterium. RNAcentral's name for it is "partial 16S ribosomal RNA". It matches the Rfam family "Bacterial small subunit ribosomal RNA", at positions 524 to 776 of the family's 1533-position model. Lineage: Bacteria; Pseudomonadati; Bacteroidota; Bacteroidia; Bacteroidales. The record is from RNAcentral.